GGCGAAGUAGCAAAGUGGUUACUGCGAGUGACUAGAAGAUUAUAGGUGUAUCAACCUUUAAUACAAGAUAUCACUUCCCUUCGGGGGCGUAGGUUCGAAUCCUGCCUUCGUCG
This 113-nucleotide transfer RNA is filed under the name Elsinoe ampelina. Its description in RNAcentral is "tRNA-Ser". It matches the Rfam family "tRNA". From Rfam's summary of the family: Transfer RNA (tRNA) molecules are approximately 80 nucleotides in length. Their secondary structure includes four short double-helical elements and three loops (D, anti-codon, and T loops). Further hydrogen bonds mediate the characteristic L-shaped molecular structure. tRNAs have two regions of fundamental functional importance: the anti-codon, which is responsible for specific mRNA codon recognition, and the 3' end, to which the tRNAs corresponding amino acid is attached (by aminoacyl-tRNA synthetases). tRNAs cope with the degeneracy of the genetic code in two manners: having more than one tRNA (with a specific anti-codon) for a particular amino acid; and 'wobble' base-pairing, i.e. permitting non-standard base-pairing at the 3rd anti-codon position. The record is from RNAcentral. Lineage: Eukaryota; Fungi; Ascomycota; Dothideomycetes; Myriangiales; Elsinoaceae.